Molecule: long non-coding RNA, 576 nt
Filed under: Zea mays
Lineage: Eukaryota; Viridiplantae; Streptophyta; Magnoliopsida; Poales; Poaceae
Description: long non-coding RNA (ZMAY_LNC001876)
Source: RNAcentral
CCAACCCUACAUCGUGUCUAUUGUGUUUCCUCUGUCGUGCUAAUGGGAAGGGAGACAAGUACUCUACAGCUUCUUGUGCCUCUACUGCUGACGGGAGGGAAGGGAGCGGAUCUGGUGAUCCGUGGUGACGUAGUUCUUAACACGUUAUCAGCAUGCUGUACCUCGACGUUGCUGUGGGAUCAGAUCUGCAUCAAUUCUCCAUCAAGCCGGCAGGUCAUCCGGCUGUGUCGAACUGUCCUACGCGACAGCUUUUGAUUCCCCUACAUUCGACCGGUAUGCUUCAAUUAGAUCUAUUGUUCUUAAUGUGCUUCGACCGGUAUGCUUCAAUUAGAUCUAUUGUUCUUAAUGUGCUGCCGUGCAUCGGCUCUGAUCUGUGCGCGACGAACUUACCACCUCCGUGGUGCUGCGCCCCGUGGCCUCCGGUCGACGCAGCACAAGUGUGCGCCCGUAGUCGCACCACGUCCAUCACGCCAUGCGCCUGGCCCGCUGCCGGCAUCAGCACACACACGGCAGGCGUGGGAACCACACGUCUCUCUCACCUCAGCACACAGUGCUGCGAGAUGCAGCACUCACCAG